UCAGACCACAGGGUAAUCGCUGGUGUAGAAAAUACAUCAGAGGAAAGUCCGGGUAGCACAGAGCAACGACAGUCGCUAACGGCGACCGGGGGAAACCCUAGGGAAAGUGCCACAGAAACGAAACUACCCAAGUCUUCGGACGAGGGAAAAGGUGAAAGGAGUGGGGUAAGAGCCCACAGCGACGCACGGUGACGUGCGGAGGAGGUAAACCCUGUCGGCUACAAGGGAGACUUGAUCACUGGCGGCUCGUCAGCAGGUCGAUUAAAACCCGCUAGAUCAUGUUGGCAACAGCGUGGCUAGAUAGAUGAUUGCCGCGGCGCGCUUUGGCGCGUCGACACAGAACCCGGCUUACGGCUGGUCUGACGCC
Molecule: RNase P RNA, 367 nt
Filed under: Candidatus Nomurabacteria bacterium
Lineage: Bacteria; Candidatus Nomuraibacteriota
Description: RNase P RNA component class A
Rfam family: Bacterial RNase P class A
About the family: Ribonuclease P (RNase P) is a ubiquitous endoribonuclease, found in archaea, bacteria and eukarya as well as chloroplasts and mitochondria. Its best characterised activity is the generation of mature 5'-ends of tRNAs by cleaving the 5'-leader elements of precursor-tRNAs.
Source: RNAcentral